AUUCUGUGAUGAGGGCACUUUCGUAAUAAUUCUUUGUAACUUUCCAUUGCCUCAGACAAUGACUCAUCAUCCAUUUGUUGGAAAGCAGUGAUCUCAUACAAUGACU
Molecule: small nucleolar RNA, 106 nt
Organism: Gossypium raimondii (Peruvian cotton)
Lineage: Eukaryota; Viridiplantae; Streptophyta; Magnoliopsida; Malvales; Malvaceae
Rfam family: Plant small nucleolar RNA R71
About the family: R71 is a member of the C/D box family of snoRNAs containing the C (UGAUGA) and D (CUGA) box motifs. Multiple nearly identical copies of this snoRNA have been identified in Arabidopsis, and it is thought to function as a 2'-O-ribose methylation guide for 18S ribosomal RNA.
Source: Rfam